RNAcentral lists this ribosomal RNA (63 nucleotides) under Anadara broughtonii. RNAcentral's name for it is "Scapharca broughtonii partial 28S ribosomal RNA". It matches the Rfam family "Eukaryotic large subunit ribosomal RNA", at positions 1 to 60 of the family's 3401-position model. Lineage: Eukaryota; Metazoa; Mollusca; Bivalvia; Arcoida; Arcidae. The record is from RNAcentral.
CUCCGACCUCAGAUCAGACGGGAGUACCCGCUGAACUUAAGCAUAUCAGUAAGCGGAGAAAAG